Molecule: ribosomal RNA, 1307 nt
Filed under: metagenome
Description: SSU rRNA
Rfam family: Eukaryotic small subunit ribosomal RNA
Source: RNAcentral
AUACCGGGCCUUUUUGGGCUUGGUAAUUGGAAUGAGGGAGAGUUAAACGGACCAUCGAGUAUCCAUUGGAGGGCAAGUCUGGUGCCAGCAGCUGCGGUAAUACCAGCUCCAAUAGCGUAUAUUAAAGUUGUUGCAGUUAAAAAGCUCGUAGUUGGACUUGUGUGCGCUGUCCGCGGGUGGCCUGCGCCCAAAAGGGCGUUUCGGUUCGGCCCCGGUGGCGCCUUGAAAUCUGCAGCUGGGGGGACGUUGGCCUUAACUGGUCGGCGACCGCACGCCGGCUGCUCGGUUACUGUGAGAAAAUUAGAGUGUUCAAGGCAGGCAUUGGGUGCAAUUGAAUACAUUAGCAUGGAAUAAUAAAAUAUGGCUCCUGCCGUAUUUUGUUGGUUUUGACUGGUGGGAGUAAUGAUUGAUAGGGACGGUUGGGGGUGCUAGUAUUGAGCGGCCAGAGGUGAAAUUCAUGGAUUCGCUCAAGACUAACUUAUGCGAAAGCAUUCACCAAGGACGUCCUCUUUAAUCAAGAACGAAAGUUGGGGGAUCGAAGACGAUCAGAUACCGUCGUAGUCUCAACCAUAAACUAUGUCGACUUGGGAUCGGCGGUAGUUUUUUCAUUAAGACACUGUCGGGACCACGGGAGAAAUCAAAGUGUCUGGACUCUGGGGGAAGUAUGGUCGCAAGGCUGAAACUUGAAGGAAUUGACGGAAGGGCACCACCAGGAGUGGAGCCUGCGGCUUAAUUUGACACAACACGGGGAAACUUACCAGGUCCAGAGAUGUAGAGGAUUGACAGAUUGAAGCUCUUUCUUGAUCACUUCGGUGGUGGUGCAUGGCCGUUCUUAGUUGGUGGAGUGAUUUGUCUGGUUAAUUCCGUUAACGAACGAGACCUCAGCCUGCUAGUGUAGUCGGCUGGAUUGCCUUUGGCGAUCCGUGAUUUCGACUUCUUAGAGGGACAAUCGACGCGCAGUCGAUGGAAGUUUGAGGCAAUAACAGGUCUGUGAUGCCCUUAGAUGUUCUGGGCCGCACGCGCGCUACACUGCUGGGCUCAGCGAGUUUUACUUGGCCGAGAGGCCCGGUUAAUCUUGUGAAAUCCCAGCGUGCUUGGGCUCGCCUCCUGCAACUGGAGGCGCCAACGAGGAAUUCCUAGUAGACGCAGGUCAUCAACCUGCAUCGAUUACGUCCCUGCCCUUUGUACACACCGCCCGUCGUUCCAUAAGAGUGAGGCAUCCGGUGAAUUCUCGGGAGAGCCUGGGCGUGGCCAGCAAUGGUCUGCUCGGGUUUGAACUUGCAUAAACUUGGUGCCUAUGAUUAGGG